GGUAACAUUUCUAGCUUGCUAGAAGAUGACGAGUGGCGGACGGGUGAGUAAUGCUUGGGAACUUGCCUUUGCGAGGGGGAUAACAGUUGGAAACGACUGCUAAUACCGCAUAAUGUCUUCGGACCAAACGGGGCUUAGGCUCCGGCGCAAAGAGAGGCCCAAGUGAGAUUAGCUAGUUGGUAAGGUAACGGCUUACCAAGGCGACGAUCUCUAGCUGUUCUGAGAGGAAGAUCAGCCACACUGGGACUGAGACACGGCCCAGACUCCUACGGGAGGCAGCAGUGGGGAAUAUUGCACAAUGGGGGAAACCCUGAUGCAGCCAUGCCGCGUGUGUGAAGAAGGCCUUCGGGUUGUAAAGCACUUUCAGUUGUGAGGAAAAGUUAGUAGUUAAUACCUGCUAGCCGUGACGUUAACAACAGAAGAAGCACCGGCUAACUCCGUGCCAGCAGCCGCGGUAAUACGGAGGGUGCGAGCGUUAAUCGGAAUUACUGGGCGUAAAGCGCACGCAGGCGGUUUGUUAAGCUAGAUGUGAAAGCCCCGGGCUCAACCUGGGAUGGUCAUUUAGAACUGGCAGACUAGAGUCUUGGAGAGGGGAGUGGAAUUCCAGGUGUAGCGGUGAAAUGCGUAGAUAUCUGGAGGAACAUCAGUGGCGAAGGCGACUCCCUGGCCAAAGACUGACGCUCAUGUGCGAAAGUGUGGGUAGCGAACAGGAUUAGAUACCCUGGUAGUCCACACCGUAAACGCUGUCUACUAGCUGUGUGUGUCUUUAAGACGUGCGUAGCGAAGCUAACGCGCUAAGUAGACCGCCUGGGGGAGUACGGCCGCAAGGUUAAAACUCAAAUGAAUUGACGGGGGCCCGCACAAGCGGUGGAGCAUGUGGUUUAAUUCGAUGCAACGCGAAGAACCUUACCUACACUUGACAUGCUGAGAAGUUACUA
RNAcentral lists this ribosomal RNA (938 nucleotides) under uncultured Alteromonas sp. RNAcentral describes it as "bacterial SSU rRNA". It matches the Rfam family "Bacterial small subunit ribosomal RNA", at positions 68 to 1002 of the family's 1533-position model. The record is from RNAcentral. Lineage: Bacteria; Pseudomonadati; Pseudomonadota; Gammaproteobacteria; Alteromonadales; Alteromonadaceae.